RNAcentral lists this long non-coding RNA (1632 nucleotides) under Citrus sinensis (sweet orange). Its description in RNAcentral is "long non-coding RNA (CSIN_LNC005111)". Lineage: Eukaryota; Viridiplantae; Streptophyta; Magnoliopsida; Sapindales; Rutaceae. The record is from RNAcentral.
CAAAUAUCCUGGUAAUUAUCACUUUGCUCCCUCAUCUUUUAACUAAAUAUUAAGACUUCAUUUACUUUAGGCGACUAUCAAAGACCCCCUAACAUAAUAAUAUAUUUUAAAACAUGUAAUGUUGUAAAUAACGUGAAUAAUAUUUAUAUUAGUGUAAACUAUAUUAAUUAUAAAUCAAUGCAAUCAUUUUUAAUAAUGAAAUUGAUCAUAAACAACUUAUAUCAUUGUUUAUUAUGACAUUAUAAAUCUACAAAUGUUUUGCAAUAUAAAAAUUAGUGAGACCUCUUUAAUUUUUUUCUUUUGCAAAUUUUAUUUAUAUUAGUGUAAACCAUAUUAAUUAUAAAUCAAUGCAAUCAUUUUUAAUAGUGAAAUUGAUCAUAAACAACUUAUAUCAUUGUUUAUUAUGACAAUGUUUUGCAAGUAUCUUUGUUAGCCUUACUAUUAUUAUUGGUAAAUUGAACACAUAUAUGAUAAUUUUAUCAAUAUCACUUUUCUUUUAAUCAAAAUGAGCGUAUGUUCUAAAUAUAACAACAUUUUAUCGUAAUAAACUUUUUAAUAAUUUAUUGAGAAAUGUUGUUAAUUAUCAUUGUAAAUUAUUGUCGACAUUAUAUUAUAAAAGCUAAAUAAUUAAUAAUGUAAUUAUAAUAUUACAUUGUUAUUUAAAAUAAAAUAUUUAUCUCUUUGUAUAUUUAUGGGAGUAGGUUUUUGAGUUAAUAUUCGGUGGACCGUUAGACUUUACCAUAAAGUGCAUCUAUACAGAUUAUCAAACUUUUUUUUAUUUUGAUAUAACACUAAAAGAAUUUUGCUUCAUCUAGGCAGGAAAACUACUGCCUAAAUGAAAACAUAUUUACCCAUUUUCACAAUUUUUAAUUCUAAUAAUUUUUGUAUAUUAUUUAAAUUUUCAUAUUUUAUAUUAUUAUUCUUGAUACUUUUUUUUCAAAAUAACUUUAUUUAUUGUUCAGAAACCUUAAAAGAAAAAUAUAAAAUUUAUUUUUUAAAUUUUCAUCAAAAAACAUAUCUUUUAGGCCUAAGGUUUCGUUUGUAGUAAGGUUUCGUUUGUCGCUUCAUACAUUAAGAUAUAUAUUUUUUAAUCAUUAUUAAUUUUUUUCACGAUUAAUGUUCUUAAUUUUUUUCUUGUCUUGUUAAAGUUUUGUAAUUAACUUAAAUUGUAUAACAUUUUGAAUUGUCAUUUUAUUUUUUUUAUAAGUCUUUUUUUAAUGUUUUAUGCUUCCAAUAUAGAAUGAUUGGCAAGGGAAAAUAUUGCAAAGCAUUUGACGCAGAAACUGCUAUUGGCAUCCUCUCAAGUGGUUGAAUCCAAGUAAGGCUGGUGAGCAGCCCAAGCUUCAGCUGGCUGUCUCCAGAUCAAAGGGGAAAUAGAAAUAAUAAAAUUAGUUUUCUAUAAUCCCUUGGGAUUAUUUUAUCUUUUUUUCUCUAAUGGUGCAUAGUUGAGUAGUGAACAAGAAUUGGCAUUGGUUGUAAAUGAACUUUUUUUUUAAUUUGUUCUCCAAAAGAAAGAUGGUGUAGAAAUAAUUUCUCUUAAAAAUUAUAGCAUUGAAUUUUUCUAUUAGAGAAAAUUAAUUUUAAUAUUUAAUAUAUUUUCUUUUUCCUUGAUUGCAAUGAUUUUCUAAUGUG